UUCGGCCAUAGUGGCGCACGGGUGAGUAACGCGUGGGAACCUGCCCAGCAGUGGGGAAUAACUUCGGGAAACCGGGGCUAAUACCGCAUACGCCCUUAGGGGGAAAGAUUUAUUGCUGUUGGAGGGGCCCGCGUCCGAUUAGUUUGUUGGUGGGGUAAUGGCCUACCAAGACUACGAUCGGUAGCUGGUCUGAGAGGAUGAUCAGCCACACUGGGACUGAGACACGGCCCAGACUCCUACGGGAGGCAGCAGUGGGGAAUAUUGGACAAUGGGCGCAAGCCUGAUCCAGCAAUGCCGCGUGGGUGAUGAAGGCCUUAGGGUUGUAAAGCUCUUUCGGCGGGGACGAUGAUGACGGUACCCGCAGAAGAAGCCCCGGCUAACUUCGUGCCAGCAGCCGCGGUAAUACGAAGGGGGCUAGCGUCGUUCGGAAUUACUGGGCGUAAAGAGCACGUAGGCGGUUCGUUAAA
RNAcentral lists this ribosomal RNA (467 nucleotides) under uncultured Magnetospirillum sp. Its description in RNAcentral is "bacterial SSU rRNA". It matches the Rfam family "Bacterial small subunit ribosomal RNA", at positions 85 to 587 of the family's 1533-position model. Lineage: Bacteria; Pseudomonadati; Pseudomonadota; Alphaproteobacteria; Rhodospirillales; Rhodospirillaceae. The record is from RNAcentral.